ACUCCAGACCUGCCCCUGCAGGGACACUGCACCUUCAGCUGCUGGACCCGUUUCUCUUGGCAGGCAGCGCCCCCCUCCGUGUCCGAGGGCCCCGGGAGCCCUGCCCAGACCCAGGCGGUCCUGCCUGCUUCAAGAACCUCUCCAAGACUCUGGGCUUCGGGAUGGGGCUGCACUGAACGGCAGCUCAGGGCCCACCUGGUUCACCCAAAGCCCCGCUCAGUGCAGCCCCAUCCUGCCACCCCUUGAAACCUCUGGGACAGGGGCCGCAGAGCUUGGAGCAGUCGGAAGUUUCCAGGCCAGGGAUUGAGGCCGAGCCACGGCAGUGGUAACACCAGAUCCUUAACCAGCACUUUGUCCUCCACGUGAAACCCGAGUGGUACCUCGCUUUCCUUGUUAUUUUAACCAGGAGCUUCAGCUACGUGAAAUAAAAUUUGUAUUUUCUGGCAAGACGAGAAGAAAAAAUUCCAACAUAGCAUUUGUCUCUGCCCGUUGGCCCCCUGCCUGCCCCCCACUGGGACUGUGCGUCUGCAUUUACGCAUCGGCCAGACCUCCCCCAGCAGCAGGAACACCUGCUCAGCUUCUCCGGCACCAGUACCGACGGGACGGCUCCUGAAAGAGCCUGUGGACGGCAGCGCUAAGACGCCGGGACAAAACCUCUAGCAAGUUAAGGUUAAAAGUUCUGCGGAAGAAGAAGAUUCCCCGGAAAACGAUCACGGCUGGAUGUCCCUCAGAAGGUCUGGCAGUCGCCGUCCUUAAGGAAAAAGGGGGUCUCCUCUGCGGGCAGGACCCCCAGGCUGCGGGGGGCCUUCCCGACCAGGCCCUGUUUGAACCUCUCUGGCUUUUGCUGUGAGACAGUGUGAUUCUGAAGGUGGGUUUCAGGCAUGGCUUUCCCCCGCAUCCACAGGGCGGAUGCAUCCCAGCUCUGCUGCUGGCGGGGAUGAGCUCACGGCACCAUCGGCACCCAUUUCUGGUGGCCCUGCUGCCAGACGGUGAUACACUAGGUCCCGGGCUCCACGUCCCCUGCUUUCGUCCUGGCAGGGCCACGGGAGCUCCUGUCGCUUUGAGGGGGAAGGUCAGACCCAGGAGUGACGUGCUCUUGGCUGAGGGUCUGUGUCAGUGCACCACCGUUAUACAUUCGGGAAGGUUCCUUCAGCAGAAACACGCAUGAGACACGGCUAGGGAUGGACAGGAUGAGGGAGACGUGGCCCGAGGCCCAGGGAGCCCAGCCUGUGUCCCCAGGAGCAGAGGCUCGGGACUCGCUCGCUCCGUGUCUGGGUCUCGGAGAACCAGCGCUACUUCACUGGAAACGGUGAAGGUUCGUGACAAAGGACCGUUUCCUCCAGCUGAUGACACGAAUUCCUAAAGAGGAGAAAACGCUGGCCUUACUUAUUUGGCCGCUCCUGGGUCUGACCCCCCCCUUGAAGCAACAGGACGGCCCCCCUCCCCCAUGUUACGAGUGGAGCCACCCGCCCCCACCAGGCACCUGCAGAGCCACGGGCGCUCGGAAAGCUCCGAUUUUCCAUUUUUCUCCACGACAUGCUGUGGCUGCCCCAUGCUCUCCUGCGUGCGCGGCUCUGCUCCCUGGAUGGAUUUGGUCACGUCUGUGCCGACACUGCAGUUCCCUGACGUCCCUUCUUCCUUGGGACGCGCUCCUCAUCCUCCCAUCUUCCUUUUGUCAAAUAUUUCUUGGUUAUUUCUGUAGUUUACUCCUCCAUGGGAAUGUCAGAGGCCUGACUGUUGAAAUUUUGAUUUAAGUUUCUAUAAAUUCUACAAAUUACAAUGGACGUAUUGAA
RNAcentral lists this long non-coding RNA (1793 nucleotides) under Sus scrofa (pig). RNAcentral describes it as "lncRNA (ENSSSCG00060014042.1)". Lineage: Eukaryota; Metazoa; Chordata; Mammalia; Artiodactyla; Suidae. The record is from RNAcentral.